UACGUAGGGGGCGAGCGUUGCCCGGAAUCAUUGGGCGUAAAGGGCGCGCAGGCGGCCUGAUUAGUCGUGGGUGAAAUCGUUCGGCUCAACCGAGCGGGGUCCUGCGAAACGGUCGGGCUGGAGCAAGGCAGGGGGUCGUGGAAUUCCCGGUGUAGUGGUGGAAUGCGUAGAGAUCGGGAGGAACACCAGUGGCGAAGGCGGCGACCUGGGCCUGUGCUGACGCUGAGGCGCGAAAGCGUGGGGAGCGAUC
This 250-nucleotide ribosomal RNA is filed under the name uncultured bacterium. RNAcentral's name for it is "partial 16S ribosomal RNA". It matches the Rfam family "Bacterial small subunit ribosomal RNA", at positions 524 to 773 of the family's 1533-position model. The record is from RNAcentral.